CUUAGUAACGGCGAGUGAAGCGGCAAAAGCUCAAAUUUGAAAUCUGGUACCUUCGGUGCCCGAGUUGUAAUUUGGAGAGGGCAACUUUGGGGCCGUUCCUUGUCUAUGUUCCUUGGAACAGGACGUCAUAGAGGGUGAGAAUCCCGUGUGGCGAGGAGUGCGGUUCUUUGUAAAGUGCCUUCGAAGAGUCGAGUUGUUUGGGAAUGCAGCUCUAAGUGGGUGGUAAAUUCCAUCUAAAGCUAAAUAUUGGCGAGAGACCGAUAGCGAACAAGUACAGUGAUGGAAAGAUGAAAAGAACUUUGAAAAGAGAGUGAAAAAGUACGUGAAAUUGUUGAAAGGGAAGGGCAUUUGAUCAGACAUGGUGUUUUGUGCCCUCUGCUCCUUGUGGGUAGGGGAAUCUCGCAUUUCACUGGGCCAGCAUCAGUUUUGGUGGCAGGAUAAAUCCAUAGGAAUGUAGCUUGCCUCGGUAAGUAUUAUAGCCUGUGGGAAUACUGCCAGCUGGGACUGAGGACUGCGACGUAAGUCAAGGAUGCUGGCAUAAUGGUUAUAUGCCGCCCGUCUUGAAACACGGACCAAGGAGUCUAACGUCUAUGCGAGUGUUUGGGUGUAAAACCCAUACGCGUAAUGAAAGUGAACGUAGGUUGGGGCCUCGCAAGAGGUGCACAAUCGACCGAUCCUGAUGUCUUCGGAUGGAUUUGAGUAAGAGCAUAGCUGUUGGGACCCGAAAGAUGGUGAACUAUGCCUGAAU
This 748-nucleotide ribosomal RNA is filed under the name Saccharomyces cerevisiae (brewer's yeast). RNAcentral's name for it is "partial large subunit ribosomal RNA". It matches the Rfam family "Eukaryotic large subunit ribosomal RNA", at positions 79 to 842 of the family's 3401-position model. The record is from RNAcentral. Lineage: Eukaryota; Fungi; Ascomycota; Saccharomycetes; Saccharomycetales; Saccharomycetaceae.